UAGGGAAUCUUCCGCAAUGGGCGAAAGCCUGACGGAGCAACGCCGCGUGAGUGAAGAAGGUCUUCGGAUCGUAAAACUCUGUUAUUAGGGAAGAACAAAUGUGUAAGUAACUAUGCACGUCUUGACGGUACCUAAUCAGAAAGCCACGGCUAACUACGUGCCAGCAGCCGCGGUAAUACGUAGGUGGCAAGCGUUAUCCGGAAUUAUUGGGCGUAAAGCGCGCGUAGGCGGUUUUUUAAGUCUGAUGUGAAAGCCCACGGCUCAACCGUGGAGGGUCAUUGGAAACUGGAAAACUUGAGUGCAGAAGAGGAAAGUGGAAUUCCAUGUGUAGCGGUGAAAUGCGCAGAGAUAUGGAGGAACAUCAGUGGCGAAGGCGACUUUCUGGUCUGUAACUGACGCUGAUGUGCGAAAGCGUGGGGAUCAAACAGGAUUAGAUACCCUGGUAGUCCACGCCGUAAACGAUGAGUGCUAAGUGUUAGGGGGUUUCCGCCCCUUAGUGCUGCAGCUAACGCAUUAAGCACUCCGCCUGGGGAGUACGACCGCAAGGUUG
Molecule: ribosomal RNA, 550 nt
Filed under: uncultured bacterium
Lineage: Bacteria
Description: bacterial SSU rRNA
Rfam family: Bacterial small subunit ribosomal RNA
Source: RNAcentral